ACUGGGUGCGGUGGCACAUACCUGUAGUCCCAGCUACUCGGGGGGCUGAGGCUAGAGGAUUGCUUGAGUCCAGGAGUUCUGGGCUGUAGCAUGCUAUGCUGAUGAGGUGUCUGUACUAAGUUCAGCAUCAAUAUGGUGACCUCUCGGUAGUGGGGGACCACCAGGUUGCCUAAGGCAGGGCGAACCAGCCCAGGUCGGAAACGGAGCAGGUCAGAACUCCAGUGCUGAUCAGUAGUGGGAUUGCACUUGUGAAUACCCACUGUACUCCAGCCUGGGCAACAUAGCCAGAUCCUGUCUCU
RNAcentral lists this signal recognition particle RNA (299 nucleotides) under Saimiri boliviensis boliviensis (Bolivian squirrel monkey). Its description in RNAcentral is "Metazoan signal recognition particle RNA (ENSSBOG00000015136.1)". It matches the Rfam family "Metazoan signal recognition particle RNA". From Rfam's summary of the family: The signal recognition particle (SRP) is a universally conserved ribonucleoprotein. Lineage: Eukaryota; Metazoa; Chordata; Mammalia; Primates; Cebidae. The record is from RNAcentral.